RNAcentral lists this ribosomal RNA (515 nucleotides) under Burkholderiaceae bacterium L737_CEm. Its description in RNAcentral is "bacterial SSU rRNA". It matches the Rfam family "Bacterial small subunit ribosomal RNA", at positions 847 to 1356 of the family's 1533-position model. The record is from RNAcentral. Lineage: Bacteria; Pseudomonadati; Pseudomonadota; Betaproteobacteria; Burkholderiales; Burkholderiaceae.
CGUAGCUAACGCGUGAAGUUGACCGCCUGGGGAGUACGGUCGCAAGAUUAAAACUCAAAGGAAUUGANCGGGGACCCGCACAAGCGGUGGAUGAUGUGGAUUAAUUCGAUGCAACGCGAAAAACCUUACCUACCCUUGACAUGUACGGAAUCCUGCUGAGAGGUGGGAGUGCCCGAAAGGGAGCCGUAACACAGGUGCUGCAUGGCUGUCGUCAGCUCGUGUCGUGAGAUGUUGGGUUAAGUCCCGCAACGAGCGCAACCCUUGUCCCUAGUUGCUACGCAAGAGCACUNCCAGGGAGACUGACCGGUGACAAACCGGAGGAAGGUGGGGAUGACGUCAAGUCCUCAUGGCCCUUAUGGGUAGGGCUUCACAGCGUCAUACAAUGGUCGGAAGCAGAGGGUCGCCAACCCGCCGAGGGGGAGCCAAUCCCAGAAAACCGAUCGUAGUCCGGAUCGCAGCUCUGCAAACUCGAGUGCGUGAAGUCUGGAAAUCGCUAGUAAUCGCGGAUCAGCAUG